This is a non-coding RNA of Bacteroides sp. CAG:98, 98 nucleotides long. The record is from Rfam. NCBI's taxonomy places the organism in Bacteria, Pseudomonadati, Bacteroidota, Bacteroidia, Bacteroidales, Bacteroidaceae.
GUAAAAGCAAAGGGGUGCCCACGGACAGACGGGCUGAGAUUAUACCCUGUGAACCUGAUGCGGUUAGUACCGACGAAGGGAUUGUUACUUCUUGCCAC